CUCAGCCUUUGGGUGGACUCCUCAGGUGAAUCGAUCUGCGGACGGCGCGGCUCCGGAAUGCAGGUGUGUGUGUGUCAGGUGUUGCGGGGUCACGCGUUCACCACCUGGAAGGGAGAGGAACAGCCUCCGUGGUCCAGUGGUCAGCGUGCCUGGCAACGACUCUACGGGCCCUGGUUCGUAUUCCGGUCCGGGCGGUUGGCGUGAUACUCACCCAGCUGUUCAUCCUCUCUUUUGGGCUGGUCGAUAAAUGGGUACCUGGGGAAGCCUGGAGAAGGUAAACUGUGGCAACCCGGAUAUCCCAUUGGCCCGUGUCCCCGGGUUAUUGGUCAUUACCUACCACACCCAUCUCCGCAUUGUUGGCCAAACAGUUCGGAGGUGAGCACCGCAGCCACGCGCAGCUAUAGCAUAUGCAUCCACCUUUACCUUACCUUUUAUUAAAUAUCACAUCUGUCCUUUGCUUUCAUUUGC
Molecule: long non-coding RNA, 468 nt
Organism: Eriocheir sinensis (Chinese mitten crab)
Lineage: Eukaryota; Metazoa; Arthropoda; Malacostraca; Decapoda; Varunidae
Exons: 4
Source: RefSeq, a predicted model, not a curated record